AUGUCAAGCACUGUCUUUAUAAUAAUACAUUUCUACCUUGCAGGUUUGGCUGGCCGCGCCAAGAGCUGGAUGUGUAAAACAUGGAAUAAAAAACGGAAGUGUAAGAAAAUUUGCUCCGUUGAAAAUGAAGCUCCUGUUCAAGACCCAGAGGAGUAUACAACUGAAAGGAUGCAGGAGGAGAUGUCACCUGACAUAGAAAAUGCUACAGGUCCUGUUGAGUUCCUACGGGACUGCAUACUGGAGUGCAGUGACGAGGAGGAGAUGCCCUCUGACCUGGAGAAGCCUCCGGCCCAGUAUCACCACCGUCCUGUUGAGGUCCCACAGGACUGCAUACUGGAGUGCAGUGAUGAGGAGGAGAUGCCCUCUGACCUGGAGAAGCCUCCGGCCCAGUAUUUCCACCGUCCUGUUGAGUUCCUACGGGACUGCAUACUGGAGUACAGUGACAAGGAGGAGAUGCCCUCUGACCUUGAGCAUGUAUAUUUUUAUCUUCAUCGUGAGGAGAAAUGUUUUUUUCUGUGGCCUCCAGAAUAUCAAGUGAGUAUCAUUUUUGGCUACGAUUGUGAAUCAGACCUCAGGUGUCAUGCAUUCUAGUGACCAGUCACUGGAGUUUAUGACGAACUGAGCCUCGAUUCAUGACGUCAGUCAAAAGAUGGCAUAACUUUCAAAGUGGUCGUGUGCAUAUUUCUCAGUGGCAACAUUUUCUUCUUGAAAUAUAAUUUUGUAUUUCCCNNNNNNNNNNNNNNNNNNNNNNNNNNNNNNNNNNNNNNNNNNNNNNNNNNAGUUUGACCUUGAGCACAUUUGUAGCCUCCACUUCCCACCCCUACCACAGAUUCUGAGAUGAGGCUUCUUUCUCUCCAGUUCUCUUAAUUUUUGGGGAAACCAAGAGUUCCUUCCCACAGAAGAUGGCAUUACACUAUUUCCUGUCUUCAAAAAUUAAGCUUCUAUUGUUCUCUAAGUUGAUAUUUAUAAGUUAAGUUCUGGACCUUAAUUUCACUGUGCAGGAAACUCCAUAUGAUAAAAUGUGCUGAUAGCACAUAAUGUCCAUGAUAUGGAUGACAUUUUUAUCUUUGGAGGAUCCUCAUUUUACAUAAUAAGAUACAAAACUAAGUGGGCACCCUCUAUCCAGUCCAGGGCACUUCAUUAAAGAACUGAGUUUGCUGCUGUCUGUCAUUUGCUUUUCUUCAUGAGACCUUUGAACCACCUAAAUAUUGCCAGCACCCUCUUUUGGGACCCUGACAUCUGAGAGGGUGAGAUGGCACAAGUGCAGACAUCCCUGGUUCCUCCCUGAAAUUUCCCUCCUCCUUUAAUCAUCUUCUUCCUUAAGGGACCCGCUCUGGCUGCUAAUGACUUGUUUAGACCUCUCCAGGUUUGGACUAUUAUACAUAGAGUAAGUCAAUAUGUGUUUCUCGGUGUCUGGCUUUUUCGCUCACAUUUUGAUCUGAAAUUCAUUCACGUUCGCAAGUGUAACUGUAGUUCUUCCAUUUCCUUGUUGCAUACCAUUCCACUGUAGUCACGUAUUACAGUUUAUCCACUCUACUGUUGAUUGACAUAGAAUUUUCUUUUUUUGUUUUUAAAUAAUUAUGGCUGUGAGAAGUAAUGUUGCUUUGAGUAUUUUUGUCAAUGGUUUUGGAAUAAUACUGGCACUCAUUUCUGUGAAGUAGAUUGUUAGAAGGGAACAUAUCUUUUAUUGUCCUGAAUAGUGCCAAAUAUUUUUCAAAAUGGUGAUGCUAAUUCAUGCUCCUGUAGCAGCAUAUGUGAGGAGACAUUUCUCCAAAUCCUUGUGAACUCUUAGUUUUAUCUCCCCCCAAAAAUUCCAUCACUGUGGUUAGUCUUUCAUUUGUAUAGCAUCUUACUUAAAAUUUUUAACCAAAAAUUUUGUUUUAAUCUAAUGAUGCAGGCCAGUAGGUUUGCGUACGCCCGUCUGACCCCAGCCAUGUAAGUAAUCAUUGAUCAAAAUGUCACUAUGCCACAUGACUGUACUUAAUAACAGCGCUUAAGUUAUUAAAAUGAAAAGGAUAACUGAUAUACAUUUGAGUCUUGGAUACUAUGUGGUCACUUCUCUAUGUUGCUUCGUUGAAGCAUCACAAUCACUUUGAGGCAUAAUUAGUUUGGUUCUAUUCAUUAUACAGAUGAGGAAUGUGAGUCUCAGUUAAGUAAAUUAUUCACGAGACACACCCACAUUUGGAUCUCUCUAACACCAAUGGCUAAUCUGUAAACUAACAUGCUGCACUGCCUGUAGUGGUGAAGUAGACUUGCCGUAAAGUGAAGUUUGCUUCCACAGCUGGGCGUGUUAGCUUAGUGGGGUUGCUGUUACCCAUUGCUUUAUGGGUUUGAGAUUGGUGUUGCAGAAACCCAGAUGGAGAAGCUC
Molecule: long non-coding RNA, 2368 nt
Organism: Aotus nancymaae (Ma's night monkey)
Lineage: Eukaryota; Metazoa; Chordata; Mammalia; Primates; Aotidae
Source: Ensembl